This 253-nucleotide ribosomal RNA is filed under the name uncultured bacterium. RNAcentral's name for it is "partial 16S ribosomal RNA". It matches the Rfam family "Bacterial small subunit ribosomal RNA", at positions 524 to 776 of the family's 1533-position model. The record is from RNAcentral.
UACGUAGGGUCCGAGCGUUGUCCGGAAUUAUUGGGCGUAAAGAGCUCAUAGGCGGUUUGUCGCGUCUGCUGUGAAAUCCCGAGGCUCAACCUCGGGUCUGCAGUGGGUACGGGCAGACUGGAGUGCGGUAGGGGAGAAUGGAAUUCCUGGUGUAGCGGUGGAAUGCGCAGAUAUCAGGAGGAACACCGAUGGCGAAGGCAGUUCUCUGGGCCGUAACUGACGCUGAGGAGCGAAAGCGUGGGGAGCGAACAGG